RNAcentral lists this long non-coding RNA (214 nucleotides) under Elaeis guineensis (African oil palm). Its description in RNAcentral is "long non-coding RNA (EGUI_LNC045619)". The record is from RNAcentral. Lineage: Eukaryota; Viridiplantae; Streptophyta; Magnoliopsida; Arecales; Arecaceae.
AUAUUAUGAUUGGUCUAUUACGGACUAGAGCAUGAUUGUAAUUAGUCCAGUACUAAAAAGACAAAUAUAAACUUGCAUGACUAUAAGAGUGAGAAAAAAAGAAGCAUGUGGAUUAGUCAGCCAUAUGUGAGAUGUGGUAUAUCAGCCACAAGCUGAAAUAUGAUUUAUGGUUGUCGGACAUGGGUGGAAAUAUGGUGUAUGUUUGGCCUGCCAC